CUUUCCCUCUUUCUUUAGGCCUAACACAUGCAAGUCGAACGGCAGCACAGUAAGAGCUUGCUCUUACGGGUGGCGAGUGGCGGACGGGUGAGGAAUACAUCGGAAUCUACUUUUUCGUGGGGGAUAACGUAGGGAAACUUACGCUAAUACCGCAUACGACCUACGGGUGAAAGCAGGGGAUCUUCGGACCUUGCGCGAUUGAAUGAGCCGAUGUCGGAUUAGCUAGUUGGCGGGGUAAAGGCCCACCAAGGCGACGAUCCGUAGCCGGUCUGAGAGGAUGAUCAGCCACACUGGAACUGAGACACGGUCCAGACUCCUACGGGAGGCAGCAGUGGGGAAUAUUGGACAAUGGGCGCAAGCCUGGUCCAGCCAUACCGCGUGGGUGAAGAAGGCCUUCGGGUUGUAAAGCCCUUUUGUUGGGAAAGAAAAGCAGCAGGUUAAUACCCCGCUGUUCUGACGGUACCCAAAGAAUAAGCACCGGCUAACUUCGUG
Molecule: ribosomal RNA, 492 nt
Filed under: uncultured bacterium
Lineage: Bacteria
Description: partial 16S ribosomal RNA
Rfam family: Bacterial small subunit ribosomal RNA
Source: RNAcentral